GGUCAACUCUUUGGACACUCGUAAACAGGUGGUGCAUGGUUGUCGUCAGCUCGUGUCGUGAGAUGUUGGGUUAAGUCCCGCAACGAGCGCAACCGUCGUUCUAUGUUGCCAGCGCGUAAUGGCGGGAACUCAUAGGAGACUGCCGGGGUCAACUCGGAGGAAGGUGUGGAUGACGUCAAAUCAUCAUGCCCCUUAUGUCUUGGGCUUCACGCAUGCUACAAUGGCCGGUACAAAGGGCUGCAAUACCGUAAGGUGGAGCGAAUCCCAAAAAGCCGGUCUCAGUUCGGAUUGAGGUCUGCAACUCGACCUCAUGAAGUCGGAGUCGCUAGUAAUCGCAAUCAGCAACGCUGCGGUGAAUACGUUCCCGGGCCUUGUACACACCGCCCGUA
This 389-nucleotide ribosomal RNA is filed under the name Microbacteriaceae bacterium AN12. RNAcentral describes it as "bacterial SSU rRNA". It matches the Rfam family "Bacterial small subunit ribosomal RNA", at positions 1010 to 1398 of the family's 1533-position model. The record is from RNAcentral. Lineage: Bacteria; Bacillati; Actinomycetota; Actinomycetes; Micrococcales; Microbacteriaceae.